UGGAUACAAGUGACAUGUCACUAGAGAUCAGUGUUACAGUGUUACAGUGAGUCCCGGGUGCUGGGUGAUCUAGCAUGUGUUGCAGACACCUGACAGCUUGUGUGAGCAGACCCGUGGACAUUUCCAGUGUUAUUGAUCAGUGGUAGCUUCGGCUACGUAUCAGUGGUAGCUUCAGCUACGUAUCAGUGGUAGCUUCGGCUACGUAUCAGUGGUAGCUUCGGCUACAUAUCAGUGUGGCACUUAUGUGCUAAUUCUCUACGUAUCUAUGUAUAUUCCGAGUGUUCAACGGGAAAUUGACUAAGUGUAAUUGAAUAAUGAAUAUAGGUGUGGAACUGAAUUGAAUAUCGACUUAGAAAUGGAAAAGUGAAUUUUGAAUUGAAUUGUGAUUGAAAGUGAAAAAGUGAAAUUAUGAAAGAGUACAUUUAGCAACAAAACAGUUUAGACAGCAACAGUUGUGUGACUUUGAAAAAUCACCAAAAAUGGUGGAAAUUUAAUUAGAGGCUGAAUAAUAUAUGAAAUUGAAGCUUAAUGAGUCUAUUUUCACAUAAAAGAAAUAGAAAAAGCAAAAGAGUUAUAUAUUUUGAGAUAUUUGAAGUUUAAUUAGACAGAGUCAGAAUGAGUUUGGAAUCCCCUAUUUUGACUUUGGAAAAUUGUAAAAAAUUGUACAAAAAUAAUUAUGGGAUAAAGUUUAUAUGUUUAGAAUUAUCAGUGAAUCUAUUUUUAUGAGAAACAAACGGAAACUAUACCCGAAUUCUGUACAGUGAGAUAAUUAAUUUUUAGUGAAGAGAGGUCAGA
RNAcentral lists this long non-coding RNA (795 nucleotides) under Gossypium raimondii (Peruvian cotton). Its description in RNAcentral is "long non-coding RNA (GRAI_LNC002674)". Lineage: Eukaryota; Viridiplantae; Streptophyta; Magnoliopsida; Malvales; Malvaceae. The record is from RNAcentral.